RNAcentral lists this unclassified non-coding RNA (256 nucleotides) under uncultured fungus. Its description in RNAcentral is "sequence contains ITS1". Lineage: Eukaryota; Fungi. The record is from RNAcentral.
UAUUACUUUGUGUCUCUUAGUCAACCUGAUCUGGUCUAUGUUCGUGGGGAGGGCAUCAUGGGCAUGUCCACACCAGUGUCCACAGCAGUGUCCACAGCAAUGUCCACCCCAUGGCCACCCCAUGCCCACUCCCCCCGCACUCGCCCAUGCUGUCGCACAGACCAAAGCAGGCACUCCCGCACCCACUCCCUCAUAUCGGGUGCACCAUCCAGCACACCCCCCACUAAUGAUCCUUCCGCAGGUUCACCUACGGAAA